GGCAAAGGUAAUUAAAUUACCUUCGCCCCUGUUCUUACUUCUAAAAAAUGUGCAGAAACGAAAAAAAAGAAAGAAAAAGAAAGCCUUACCUGGCGAUUCGAAGGCGCAGGCGACAGCAACAAUUCGAGCCCGGAGAAUACUCUAUUCCUCCUCCUCUCAGUCUCUUCCCCUCCGUUCGUCUGCUGUUCCUUUUCUUUUUGUUUUCUCAGUCCUUGCGAUGAAGAACAGAGGACGUUGCUGGCUUCUCCUUUGGAAAUUGGGUCUCGUUCUUUGCUCUGUUUGUGGCUUGCGUUUUAUUGGUUCUUGACUCUGUCUUUCUGGGUUGAAUCUUCAGCCUUGGUUCUGUAUUUUUGGGUUGUGUUUGCGUUGUUCCGGCGACUUUUUUCUGGUUUUUUUGUAUCGGGUUUUCUUAUGCAGGGACGUCUGCAGAGAUGAAGGCAAUAGCGGGAACAAUUCUCUGUGUAUACUGGAUUCCCUUCCUCUCCUUCUCUCUGUGUAUUAUUUCUUUGCUCUGGGGUUUUUGCUUUUGUUUUGGCUCCAAUUUUCUGGGUUGAUUGCUCUGGCUCCUCCUCCCUUCGUCUCUGUUUGUUUUCUCCUUUUAUAGCCAAACUCAACCUCCUCCAGUUCUGUUUUUGCAGGACUGUAUUAUGCAUGGUUAUCGGCAAACGACUUGGUCCAAGAUCAAAUUUGUUGCAGAUUAUCUGCUCCCCUGAUGAAUCGGAGAUUCUCCUGUUGAAUCGUGAUGGAGAAGAACACACGGCUGUUCCUUAGCAACGGUGCCGUUUUGGCUGGAAACGGGAGUUUUCAAUUUGACCCCUGAACUUUGGAAAUUUUGCAAUUGGACCUCUCAAUUAAAUAAAAAUUCCUUUUAAUUUUGCCCUUUUCUGGAUACAUUUCAAUUAAAUCCCUCAAUUGGUGCAAUGUUUACAAAACAGUCCUUAAUUCAUGGAUUAUUCAAUUUGAUCCUUAAUUAAUUCUUUUAAUUUUGCCCCUUUUGGAUAAAUUUCAAUUAAGUCCCUGAAUUUAUUUAAUUAAUUAAAUCAAAGUUUAAUUAAGUCCACAAACUUAUUAAUUCUUAUAAUUUCAUUAAUUAAAAUAAUCCAAAUUUUAAGUAAAUUUCCAAACUUAUUAAUUCUUCAAUUUCUGACCAAUUUAUUCUCAAAUCUGAUAAUUUUAUCCCUAAACUUCAAGAUUUGUUGUCUUAACCCAAUUGUCAACUAUAUUUAAUUUUUAUUAUUUGUUCAAAAAUUUGGUUAUGACAGUUGCCCCCUCUUUAUAAUAUUUACUAUGCAAUGAUAUUAGAAAAUUUCAUUUUCUUUUAGCUUUGUGUAGUAAAUUUAUAAAGAAAAUUAGAUACAAAAAGAACUUUUGCUUUUUUUUUUAGAGUCUUGAAAACUUCGAAAACCAGAGAUUGACAUAUGACUUUUAUAGAGAAAACAAGUCAUUUGGAAGACAGCGUAUUUUUUCUUUUUUUUUUUUUUUUUUUUUUUUUGUGAUGGUAUAUUGUAAUGGGUUACCGGCCCAGAUGGUCACAUUGUAAUGGGUUACCUGCCCAGUAUAGAUGGUAUAUUGUAAUGGGUUACCAACCCAAAUGGUCACAUUGUAAUGGGUUACCUGCCCAGUAUAGAAUGGUAUAUUGUAAUGGGUUACCAGCCCAGUUGGUAUAUUGUAAUGGGUUACCAACCCAGGUGGUCACAUUGUAAUGGGUUACCUGCCCAGUUGGUAAAUUGUAAUGGGUUACCAGCCCAGAUGGUCACAUUGUAAUGGGUUACCUGCCCAGUUGGUCACAUUGUAAUGGGUUACCUGCCCAGUUGGUAUAUUGUAAUGGGUUACCAACCCAGAUGGUCACAUUGUAAUGGGUUACCUGCCCAGUUGGUAAAUUGUAAUGGGUUACCAGCCCAGAUGGUACAUUGUAAUGGGUUACCUGCCCAGUUGGUCACAUUGUAAUGGGUUACCUGCCCAGUGGAAACAUACAAGUUUUUUUUUAUUAUUUUUUUUUAUAUAAGACGAGGGCUCGAAGGCGCGCUCAAAUGGAGAUAAGACGAGGGCUCGAAGGCACGCUCAAAUGGAGGUAGGAUAGAAAAUGCACUACCUUUGAUGGUCGAGGGCUCGAAGGCGCGCUCGAAAAUAAAUAAGACGAGGGCUCGAAGGCGCAGUCGAAUAGAGGUAGGAUAGAAAAUGCACUACCUGAGGUGGUCGAGGGCUCGAAGGCGCGCUCGAAUGGAGAUAAGACGAGGGCUCGAAGGCGCGCUCGAAUGGAGGUAGGAUAGAAAAUGCACUACCUUUGAUGGUCGAGGGCUCGAAGGCGCGCUCGAAAAGAACUCAGACGAGGGCUCGAAGGCGCGCUCGAAUGGAGAUAAGACGAGGGCUCGAAGGCGCGCUCGAAUGGAGGUAGGAUAGGAAAUGCACUACCUAUGAUGGUUGAGGCUGAAAAGUGGUGAAAAAAUACAGAGAUUUUUCUGGUGGCCUAAUUCUCAUGGGCGGCCUGCCCAGGUUGAAAAAUUCUCAAAAAUGAAAAAUUUUUCAACAACAAUUUUGAUCUUUGGCCAUUUCAAGUUGGCCUUCCACUUGAUGGAUUUCGUUGGAAUUUUCUCAUAUGAAAUUUGCAAAACUCAUUGUCCAAUGUCUCAAAGUUAAAUGAUAUGCAUGCAUCUUUACCUGAUUUGAAAUAUAGGCCCCCAUUUCUUCAUAGUCUUCUUGUUGAUUGAUUGGUGAGAUCUUGCUAACUGAUUUGAGUCAUCUUUGUCGUUUAGCUUUCUAGCCCACUCGAGUUGGCCCAUGUAAGUCUAUUUCCAAAUUUGUUUGCACAACUCAGCAUUUGUGGUGCCCAUCGUGACCCACUUGCUUGCUAGAGAUUUUCUGAUUCGUCAAAUAAUUUGAGAGGAUUAUUCAUUACCCCUCGUCUCACUGCUAAAAAACAUUCGGUAUCACUUGCUGAAAGGAUCGAGCUGUCUUUUGUAAAGCAAAAUGCCCCCUUGUCUUGUUGUAAGGGAUGAUAGAUUUUCCUUAAACACAAUGUUGUCCCCUUGUACUGGUCAUUGCCCCCAAGUGUGCUAUGUCACUGACUUAGAUGAAUAAUGAUUUUAAGAGGUCAUUCUCUCAUUUGGUAAAGGAAUACGAGUCUAGAAUGAAUCUUGAAAUCUUGAUCUUGCAUUUUGAAAACAAAAUUAUUUCGAUGUGAGUCUAAAAUUUGCUUUUGAAAUCUUGCAACUCCUUGGUUAUUUUCUUUCUUGGAAAAGAGAUUAUUUGCUCUUGUGUUUGGUAAUGAGGUCUUCGGUGAAAAUAUGUCAUGAGAUGACCUUUUGUUUCGAAGUGAAGGGCUCGAGAAAAAGCUCGAGGUUUUGUAAGAGAAAAACUUGUCUCUUUUUUAACAUUUAUUUUUAUCAGCAUGAAUAAUAAUGAGUAGUUUAUUCUUGAUGUCAUGAAUCUUAUGAAAAAGUAUCUUUGCAUUUUGAGAGCAUUGUUUAUUGUUCUAGAUUGCUUGCUUGCUUGAUUAGAAAGGACUUCUACAGGCACGUAACGUAGGCUGUGGUUUUUGGCUAUGAAAGAAAAGGAUUCAUAAGGCUCAAAGAGUGUUUCAGGGUUCCAAAGACUGAAGAUCACUAUCAAUAGUUUGACUCUUGACGCCAUUCAUAGUUCUUUUGCCGCUCUUCUUUGAUUUGCCCCUUUUUUUCUUUUUCAUUGCUUUGCUAGAGCAUACUCACUUUAUCUUGGUUAUCACUUUUUCUUGUGAUUUAGGCAUGCCCCCUAGCAUUUGAGUUUCUUGGGCUCUUUUUCCUUUUGGCUUUCUCACGGCUUUAUCCUCUUUCUUGAUCAUUGAAAUUUCACUUGCCCGUUUUUUUUUUGUAGGCCUGAUCCUUAGCAUUUGAGUUUCUUGGGCUCUUUUGCCUUUUGGCUUUCUCACGGCUUUAUCAUCCUUCUUGAUCAUUGAAAUUUCACUUGCCCUCAGUGUAGGGUGUGAUCUUAGUCGGGAUUUUUUUAUGAAAGAAAAAUUAUUCAGGCUCAAAAAGGGUUUGCAAGGGAUUUACUUAUUUUAGAACGUGAAAGGAAUAACAAAGAUGGCCUUUCCUCAUUUCAAGCGCAAGCAACUAUGAUCGAUAAACUUUGACCUCGUAUAGUGUGAUGAUUUAUUCUUUGCAAAGAUGCAUUUCAUGAGUUAUGUGCAACAAGUUCACUACAUACCAUUAUUCAUACAUUUAAAAACACAUGAUUCAAGAGUAAUGGGGUAAGGGUGUUUUUUUUUUUUUUUCACAAUUGUUUUUAUAAUUUAGUCACCUCAAUGAUGGAGUUGCUUGAUUCACUUGUCAUUCUACAAGUAGAAUGUCAAAAAUAUGUUUUUGAAUAAACAUCAAAUUAUUUUUUGAAAUCAAAAUGCCAGAUCAAUUUUUUUCAAAACUAAUAGGGAAACUGAUUUUUGGUAAAAGAGAUGAAUUGCGUCUAUGAGAUCGCACAAGGCUUCAAAGAUGUGUUUGUGAAUCUUUAUAAGAAAACUCUCUCAGAAAAAAAUGAAUAAUGCUAAUCGUAAACACGAUUGAAUGAUUUUCAUUGAAACUUUAGAAAAUAAGUUCAACAAGAAAGAACUUAUGACAACAUCUUGGGCUAUGACAAGAUAACAUAUAAAGGGCUAAACAUUUAGCGAUCAUUGAUUGGAAUUUCUGGAAUAUUUCAAUCAUUCAUUCUCCUCGACAAGGGCAUCUUUUCAACAGUCAAUUGAAAUCAAAUGUAGAUCAUUCUCGACCUAAUAUCACCAUAGCUUUAUCUUCAAGAUAGUUGAUUUCUAGGAGUCGAUGUGAAGCAAUUAGCUAUAGAAAUGAUAAGUGCCUUGGCAACCACCUUCAGUGAAACCGUUCUUCUCAGUCGGGUUAGCAAUCUUACCUAACCCAAUGGCUUGUUCAAUCCUCUCAGCUAACAACCAGGUCAGUAAAAUGUUGUGCAGAGCUUCUAACCAAGUAUUCAAAGUAUGGAGCUUUAAAGGUGUUGGAAAAUCUGAUCUUUUUUUCCAACAUGGGAGGGUUAACUUGUGCAGCUACCUCACUCCAUCUUCGGGCGUAUUCUCUUAUGGACUUUGUUAUCCUUCUCCAUAGCUUGCAAGCUUCGAUCAGGCCCACAUCUAUAUUGAACUUAUAUUGCCUCAUGAAGGCAUCAACUAAAUCCUUCCAUUUUUUAACCUUGGUAUUGUCCCCGCAUAUACCAAGUGAGGGCACAUUACUCAGACUGUCUUGAAAGAAAUGAAUCAGCAGUUUCUCAUCAUGAACCACCUCAGCCAUUUUGUUGCAGUAUGCUUUGAGAUGAGUUAUGGGCAUUGAUUCCCGUAUAUUUAACAAAUUCUGGCACUCUAAAUUUUUUGGAAUGACUACGUUGGGCACCAAACACAUCUCAGCAGCCUUUAUAGGAUCAUAUAGGUGAAUUCCCUCAAAUGCCCUCAUCCUUUGUUCUAGGGCAAUGAAUUUGUUCAGCUCAUCUUCUUUUACCAUUUUGCCCUUUUGAGAUUCAUUCUCUGUAGAAUCAAUGGUAAACGACAUUCUCGGGGUAUGCUGGAUGAAAAUGCAUGGCUUGUUGAAAAUCAGACGACCCAUUUGCCCCCAGAUUCUGUAGAUUGAAGGGAUUUACAACAUAGGUUCAGGCUGUAAGUGUUGCUUUUCCGGAUUUAUCUCUCAAGGCCUGCUCGAGUAGACUAGUAAGCCUUGCGACUUCUUCUUUAAGAUUGUCCACCUCUUUUUGAUGUUGGGCUUCCAACUGGGCUCUUUCUUCGUUUUCCAUUUGUCUUUUCUCGAAAGGGUUUAUUAUAUGUAGGUUUCAAAUGGGAACCUAUAUUUCAACCUGUAAAUGUAAAUCAUGCAAUUUAUGCAAAAAUGUUGAUUCAAUUAAAAAUGCGUAUGGAAUGCAGACACGUCCUUCACGGGAUGACAACCUAAUAGGAAGAUCCUAAUUGUUGAGUGCAUCAAAGGGUUGGUCAUUAUCUAGUUUCAAAGGGUCUCUCGCAUGCUCAGUGAUCGUCCAUGAAAGGUCGAUAUGAGGCUUACAAGUAGUGUGAAAAUAGAGGCCCUGAGUAAUAUCAGUUUGGCAUAUCAACCACUUCCAAGUAAACAAUCAAGCGAGAGUUGGAUGGUUUCACGAGUCUUACCCAGGCUAAAGCCAUUGGGGUACCGUUACUUUCCCACUUAUCCUAGAUUUUCAGGUGUGUGCUCUCAACGUGAUGCAUGACAAUAUAAACAUGGAUGCAUGCUAAAGCAGUAAAUUCAAGAAAAAUAAACAAAUAAACAUAACAUAAAAAACAUUAUAACAAUUGAUAAACAAAAGGCAAAGCUUAGUCCAUUAGUCCCCAGUGGAGUCGCCAUUCUGUCGCACCCGACAUCGCGCGGCCUUAAAAAUUUUAAAUCUUUGGAAAGAACGGAUUUCUGGCAUCCUGUUCUUUAAUGUGGAUAUUCUUGUUUAAGGAGUCGCCACCUAGUAUUAUGGUCACUAGGAACCCUAACUGGUCAACAGAGAUUCUAUGGUUCGGGACUGGUUACGUAAAAGGGAAGAUAUUAUCACCCCUUAAACGUCCUGCCUGGCAGGCUGCAUUGCUGGUUUCGUCUUAAAUUGCUAAAUGUUUUUAUUUAUGUUAUGAAAAUUUGCUUAUAAUAUUCCUGACUCUGGCGCCAGUGAAUAUUUAACUACGAAUAUUUCCAACUCUGGCGUUGUAAAUAUUACGUAGCUAUAAAAAUAAAUUUAAAUCAUAUAUUUUUUUUAUUCCGACUCUGGCGUCAGUGAAUAAUAAAAAUAAUAAUUUAUUUUUUUUAUAAAAUUAUUAACAUAUUUAUUUUUAUUUUUGGGCUGGGCUGGACCCAGCCCAGCAUACUUUUUUUUGGGGCUGGGCCCAGCUCAGCCCACAUGGGCUGGGCUCGGCCAGCUAGCCUGGCCAGGCCACUGGCCCAAGCCAGUGGCCGGCUGGGCUGCAGGCACGCGUGUUCAGACCACGCGUGCGCUGCACAGGGCAAAGGUAAUUAAAUUACCUUCGCCCCUGUUCUUACUUCUAAAAAAUGUGCAGAAACGAAAAAAAAGAAAGAAAAAGAAAGCCUUACCUGGCGAUUCGAAGGCGCAGGCGACAGCAACAAUUCGAGCCCGGAGAAUACUCUAUUCCUCCUCCUCUCAGUCUCUUCCCCUCCGUUCGUCUGCUGUUCCUUUUCUUUUUGUUUUCUCAGUCCUUGCGAUGAAGAACAGAGGACGUUGCUGGCUUCUCCUUUGGAAAUUGGGUCUCGUUCUUUGCUCUGUUUGUGGCUUGCGUUUUAUUGGUUCUUGACUCUGUCUUUCUGGGUUGAAUCUUCAGCCUUGGUUCUGUAUUUUUGGGUUGUGUUUGCGUUGUUCCGGCGACUUUUUUCUGGUUUUUUUGUAUCGGGUUUUCUUAUGCAGGGACGUCUGCAGAGAUGAAGGCAAUAGCGGGAACAAUUCUCUGUGUAUACUGGAUUCCCGUCCUCUCCUUCUCUCUGUGUAUUAUUUCUUUGCUCUGGGGUUUUUGCUUUUGUUUUGGCUCCAAUUUUCUGGGUUGAUUGCUCUGGCUCCUCCUCCCUUCGUCUCUGUUUGUUUUCUCCUUUUAUAGCCAAACUCAACCUCCUCCAGUUCUGUUUUUGCAGGACUGUAUUAUGCAUGGUUAUCGGCAAACGACUUGGUCCAAGAUCAAAUUUGUUGCAGAUUAUCUGCUCCCCUGAUGAAUCGGAGAUUCUCCUGUUGAAUCGUGAUGGAGAAGAACACACGGCUGUUCCUUAGCAACGGUGCCGUUUUGGCUGGAAACGGGAGUUUUCAAUUUGACCCCUGAACUUUGGAAAUUUUGCAAUUGGACCUCUCAAUUAAAUAAAAAUUCCUUUUAAUUUUGCCCUUUUCUGGAUACAUUUCAAUUAAAUCCCUCAAUUGGUGCAAUGUUUACAAAACAGUCCUUAAUUCAUGGAUUAUUCAAUUUGAUCCUUAAUUAAUUCUUUUAAUUUUGCCCCUUUUGGAUAAAUUUCAAUUAAGU
This 7990-nucleotide long non-coding RNA is filed under the name Populus tremula. RNAcentral's name for it is "long non-coding RNA (PTRE_LNC000997)". Lineage: Eukaryota; Viridiplantae; Streptophyta; Magnoliopsida; Malpighiales; Salicaceae. The record is from RNAcentral.